This 114-nucleotide ribosomal RNA is filed under the name Oryza barthii. Lineage: Eukaryota; Viridiplantae; Streptophyta; Magnoliopsida; Poales; Poaceae. The record is from RNAcentral.
CCUAACUAGCCUGCCGGCACUAAACCACCAGAUCCCAUCAGAACUUUGAAGUUAGGCGUGCUUGGGCGAGAGCACUACUAGGAUGCGGAUCCCAUCAGAACUUCGAAGUUAAGC